Molecule: long non-coding RNA, 562 nt
Filed under: Numida meleagris (helmeted guineafowl)
Lineage: Eukaryota; Metazoa; Chordata; Aves; Galliformes; Numididae
Description: lncRNA (ENSNMEG00000005727.1)
Source: RNAcentral
CUGGCAUGGACAGUCCAAGCCACUCAGUGCUCCUAUUCUGUAUGCUUUUGGCAAAUGAAGGCUGAGUUCCUAUUCUGAUUUUCAGAUAGCCAGAAUAGGGGCUAGAAGCAGCAGAGCCUUGUGUCAGAUGCUGUGCUGUGUUUUUGGUGAGAGGUGGGAAGGCAUGGGGCUGGGAGUUAACACUCUGCUUUUCUUUCUAGGACUGACAGAUGUAAUGAGAAGGAGCAAGAUGUGCAGAUCAUGGCCUCCUAUCUGCUGAGCUGCUUCUGAGCGCAGCAAAUCCUGCUGACCACCAUCAGCCAUGGUAGCUGCUUCGCUAUCCCAGGAAUGUAGCUGGAGAACACACAGUGAAAUGGCAGACCCUUUCUGGAGGAGGAAACACAGUACAUUCCACUCUCUUGGCCUGGCAGUACUGGCCACCUGUGCGCAGCUGUACACCAGCCCAGCAGCAGAAAGUCCAAGUUCACCCUUCCUAAGCAAGGAUCAAUGCCUUGGGCUCAAGCCAAGCUGGCAGCCACCAACAGAGAGAAGCAGCACGAAGGAUAACAGGCCCUGCAUAUAG